Molecule: long non-coding RNA, 2431 nt
Organism: Chroicocephalus ridibundus (black-headed gull)
Lineage: Eukaryota; Metazoa; Chordata; Aves; Charadriiformes; Laridae
Exons: 5
Source: RefSeq, a predicted model, not a curated record
UGACUGAUGAGGGAAGAGGAGAGUUUUUUCCUGAGCGCUUAAAAAUCCUUUUCUGAAGACUCCUCUAGUGUCUGAGAUCUUUCUUGCUUGGUUCUUUUGCAGGCAGGAGCAGAGAGCAGGAGCAGUUGCUGAGACACAGCUAUAAGUCAUACAACUUUUAACAUCGCUGUUUAUUCUCCAUCGAUAUUGUCUGCAGAAGACCAGAGUCUGUGCUUUCAGUGUGUCUGUCUCCUACGUGCUGGGAUUCCUGCUAUUAUGGAACAGAAUUAUUGCUUUUAGCCUGGAUUUCCAGCUACCGGAGAGUCAGUGUUGAAAUCUGGAGGUGAAAUUCCAUGGUGAUUUCCUAGAAUUGUAUUUCAGGUCAAAGCCCAGAGCUGCUGUAGAACACGCCAGCACUGCUGGAUGCAUUGUGAUCAGCUGUGACGUGUGGAAAGCGUAUAAAAAUGUAUUACUAAAGAAGUAAGAGAGAAAAAGAGAGAAAGAGUUCCGUACACUCAAACUACGAAUUUUAAAACUUUCCAUUGUUUACUUAUCUAAUUAAGAAUCUAUCUCCAUAUAGGCACAUGAACGGCAGCGUGUAAGCUGAGAACUUGCUUUCUGGGAGUGUUCACUACAGUAGAAGAGGCUCACACACAUCAGCUGGAAAUAUAAAACUAAAAAAAACAAGACAAAAAUCCAAGAGAACAGGCAGAAUCCAACAGUAACAGAUCUGCACGGCAUUGUCGUUGGUGAGUCUCUGUAGCCGUGACCCAUUCCUGAGCUUGGCUCUGCAGCCUGCAAGGAGGUGAACCAUUUAGCUCGGAGGUGCCACGGGUUUUUGAGAGGAGCUCACUGCCACCGUCUCAUCAGCUGCGGGUUUGAGGCGUUCGGCAGCAGGCUCGUGCUCGAGCGGUGGAAGUCCUGUAUUUCUUCAGGACAAACAAGUACUUGCUCUGGUACGUCAUUGCUGACAUUAACAAGAGCUGAAUAUGUGGUUUUCGGUGAUCCUGUGGGUGCUUCUAUAGAAACGGACAUAUUGGCUUUGAACAAUCACACAAAAAAGGAAUUCAUUCAUACAGGAUAUAGGUAACGCGCAGCCGAGGGCUCGCCGCAAGUAGUGCUUUGCUUUGGAAAGGUCAGAAAAAAAAUGGGUUCUCUUUCUCCUGGUGCCGCUAUAUUUUGUGCUUACAUGGCAACACUUUUUAUCGCUUCAGCCUGUUUGUCAUGUAUAUGAUAUCCUGCUUGCCAGUGCCCUGGCCAAGCCAUGCGAAAAGUUUAAACAGAAUAAAUAUUCGUAUUUACCGAUGAGGAAAUUUCAUCCGAGCGUCUCAACUAUUAAUUCAUUAACAUGUCCCCAAAGAGCAUGAACAAAGCCUCAUGUCCAGGUCAGAAAUUUGGCUGUAGCCACUCACGUAUGUUUUGGCACUGCUGGGAAUAGGAAUUAGGAAUUGCAGCUGCCAUACAUCCCUCGUAAGCAGUCCUUGUUACUUAUCUUUCACAAUGCUGAUCAAUAAAUGUAGCAAACCUGAAGCUCUCAGCACUUUCCAGUGCAGGGUUGGGAAUGCUUUAGUAACAUUUAACUUCACCUCCUUAUGAGUGUGGGAAGUGGAAGUUUAUAACGGAGAAUAAUUCUUGACAUCGACUAAUGUGUGUGACACAAAACACUCACUAUCAAGGAACGGGCUAGUUCUGAGGAUCGUUUUCCCCCGUUUGAUUUAUGCUCGACAGAUGCAAAAACCAUCUCAAAUACAGCUGCGUUAAGAAAAGAACACGCAGGCAUUUCCAUGACUUUCAUCUUGCUUUGUAUUUAUGUCAUUAUAAAACAUGCUUUUGUGGCAUGCACAACCGAGGGGCAGAACAUCUGGUAAAGUCUUGUUACAGCAAAAUGUCCAUAAAGUUAAAUAUGAUUGUUGUCAUCGUCGUCUUUUUUUUUUUUUUUAAACAACAACAACAAACAGCUGGCUAAUAUUACGACUAGUAAUAAUACUGACUGUGAGUGAUACAUGCUGAAAUGAUGGUUGCAGACUCACAAGGUGGAGAGGCAGAGAGAGGUCACAGAGUUUCUCGGUCGUGGGCUGGGGCAGAGGAGUGUGCGAUGGUGGGUACCUCUGCGCGGGUAGAACGGCCUUUCGAGUCACCCUCGAAAUCGAACAGGCCCUUCUGGUACCGUCCUUUGUUUGCUCUUUAUUUCUAUAUUUCCGGUAGGGUUUCUGCCCAAAUGAUUAAGUUAUUUUGAUUCCAUUGCAUUUUUUCCAGUAGCCGUUUCAGGCACCAAGCAAGUUGUUUAAACUCUGAUGUAUAAAGGCUCCCAGAAAACGACAUGUGUGCUCUUUGUGUGACUUGGUAUUGGUCUUCAGCGUGCUCCCAGUGCUCAGCUGCAGACUGGAAAAGACCUCCACCUCUCGCUCCGCCGACCCAGCUCUGCAUUAAAGGCUUGUAGGCCAGUGGCAAG